This 2085-nucleotide long non-coding RNA is filed under the name Monodelphis domestica (gray short-tailed opossum). RNAcentral's name for it is "lncRNA (ENSMODG00000047363.1)". The record is from RNAcentral. Lineage: Eukaryota; Metazoa; Chordata; Mammalia; Didelphimorphia; Didelphidae.
CUGCAUUCAAAAGGUAUUAGUCAGCCGCCGGGGUCUGGCUCUGGGAUGGAGGCCAAGGCCGAUCCCUGGUGGGGAAGAGAGGCCUGUAGUCUUCAUCGGUGGCCCAGGAGCCCUUCAGGAUUUUGACCAAUGCCAGCAGAGAUGGCUGUGAUCCUGAACUCUAAGAAGUCCACAGAACGUGCCUGCAGGAGCCUGGGAGUGAUCUCCUUGGCCAGUAUGGAGGCCCCAAGGAACGAGCUCCAGGACUCAGAUUCCUUCAGACCCUACUUGUGAAAGUGAGCAUAAAAGAUCUGAGCCUUCUUCCUUUGGUCCAGGGUGGCCCCCAGGGCUGGGGGGAAACGCCCCAACAUAUAUUCUUGCCAGCUCUUCACAGGGAAUAUGGAGCUGUGAAAGGGAUCAGGAGGGGUGAGAGACACACCAGAAUGUCAGGGGGAGGUCGUUAGGCUCACCUUGGGAAAAGUGACUCCAAAAUCAUUGCCGCAAUUAGAAAAGGCGACAUUUGGGUACUUGAUGAAUCUGUCUGUGAUUUUCCAGUCAGUCGUCUACUAAACACCUACUAUGGGCCAGCCAGGCACUGCACUAAGUGACGGAGAGGGGAAAAAAAGGUCCAACCCCUUGCCCUCUGGGCCACACAUCUGCUACAUAAUAAAAGUAAACUGGAAAGAAAAUUUCUCUCAAACGAGUUAGAUAAUUGGCAGGAAACUCAUCUUUAUUCUGUUGAGCCUCUGGAAUCUUUCCCCACUCUGAGGACGGAUGACCGAGACGGCACUGGGCAUUUCCUGCUGGCCCUGGGAGGAUUUGGGCACUUAGUGACAUUAGUAAGUCGUUCCCUCGCCGUGGCGGCCCCUGAGCUAGUUAGAGGAGCCCCUCUAUGCUCAGUCUGGGAGAAGAUGGGCUCCGAUCUGAGCAGGCCUCGGGAGCCCCGGACGCCCCGCUGUGACCAGCCCUCCACAGAGGGGCUGCGGUCGUUGAAUCCAUGUCAUUGGCUCACUAUCGAGCAGUGGGUUUUUGUAACUGAGGAAGAGGGCAGCCGGUCCCGGGGCCCCUUUCUGCAUCCCCCCCAAGGAACAGAGUCUCUCGUUUGACCCUUCAUCCCCCUCUUUCGUUCUUUUUAAGCUUCUGGCAGAUUCUCUGGCUUAUGAAGGAGGCUUCUUGUCAGGCUCGUGAGCGCUGGCCAGUGUAUGGAGUCCAUCACCGAAAGGCAGCAGGUUUGUGAACUGGCUGAGGAUCCCCCCGAGGUGCUACCCCGAUUCCAGGGCCCCCUUUCUACCACAGUCUCUUCAAUCAAUACUUAGCACAUGUUGACGACGGGGUAGCCCAGGUGAGCAACAGCAGGGCUUGGAGGGACAGUGGAAAGAGUUUCAUGUAAUUUGCCUCAACUGUCAUUAAAUGGGGAGCUGCUGCGGUGGCUCCGAGGAUUGAGAGCUGGGCCUAGAGGCGGACUUUGCUUUCUUCUCCUCCUUUUCCCUAGUUUCCCAAUGACUAUUCUCAAGAAAUAACAAGCCCUCCAGUUCCCCCCCUUCCCCCAAGCCAUCAUUAAAACCCUGCCCUGAUUCCACCAAGCUCAGCUAACACAAAACAAAUCCAUCCAUCGACCACGGCUGAAGCUCUUGUACAUCUAAGCCCUCACCCGAGAGACGGCAAACGGUAUUGAUUCAUCAUUAGUCUACUGGCGUCAUGACCCGGUCCCGAGGCGCAGCGCUCCCGAAAUUGCUAGGAAAACAGUCUAGUAGGAAUUAUGUUUAGAACAGUGACUCACACCGAACGAGAUAGAAAGACAUACGUCGGCGAGACGGGCUCAGUUGAAAUAGCUUCUGAUGAGAAAUCACACCCCGCAGGUCUGCGAUGAGAACCAACGUUAAAAAUACCUCUGCCGAUUCUCAGGGAGCACAAAGAGGGGAUGGAUGCCCAGAGACACAAAUGGAGUUAACGCAGAGUUUGAGGAGACGUCACUUGGGUGAUGAGAUGGGGCCCUGAUUUCAGGGAGUAGGGGAGACAGAGACAAACAGAGAGAGACAGAGAGACACAGAGACAGAGAGAGAGAGAGACAGAGAGAAAGAGAGACAGACAGAGAGACAAACAGAG